Molecule: ribosomal RNA, 459 nt
Filed under: uncultured bacterium
Lineage: Bacteria
Description: partial 16S ribosomal RNA
Rfam family: Bacterial small subunit ribosomal RNA
Source: RNAcentral
CCUACGGGAGGCAGCAGUGAGGAAUAUUGGUCAAUGGCCGGAAGGCUGAACCAGCCAAGCCGCGUGAAGGACGAAGGUGCCAAGCAUUGUAAACUUCUUUUGUAAAGGGACAAAAUCAGGCUCGAGAGCCUGACCGAGGGUACUUGAAGAAAAAGCAUCGGCUAACUCCGUGGCAGCAGCCGCGGUAAUACGGAGGAUGCGAGCGUUAUCCGGAUUUAUUGGGUUUAAAGGGUGCGUGGGCGGGAUGUUAAGUCAGCGGUAAAAGCCCGGCGCACAACCCCGGCGAGCCGGUGAAACUGGCAGUCUUGAGAUGGCUAGGGGUAUGCGGAAUGCGCAGUGUAGCGGUGAAAUGCUUAGAUAUUGCGCAGAACUCCGAUUGCGAAGGCAGCAUACCGGCAGCGAUCUGACGCUGAGGCACGAAAGCGUAGGUAUCGAACAGGAUUAGAUACCCCUGUAGUC